CUAAGCUGAGGCGUGAUGACGAGGCACUACGGUGCUGAAGUGAUUGAUACCAAGCUUCCAGGAAAAGCCACUAAGCUUCAGUCCAGAAUUGACCGUACCGCAAACCGACACAGGUGGGCAGGAUGAAAAUUCUAAGGCGCUUGAGAGAACUCAGGAGAAGGAACUCGGCAAAUUGACACCGUAACUUCGGGAGAAGGUGUGCCCCGGUAGGUUGUAGUCCCUCGCGGACGAAGGCCGAUGGGGUUGCAGUGAAAUGGUGGCUGCGACUGUUUAAUAAAAACACAGCACUCUGCAAACACGAAAGUGGACGUAUAGGGUGUGACGCCUGCCCGGUGCCGGAAGGUUAAGUGAUGGGGUGCAAGCUCUUGAUCGAAGCCCCGGUAAACGGCGGCCGUAACAAUAACGGUCCUAAGGUAGCGAAAUUCCUUGUCGGGUAAGUUCCGACCUGCACGAAUGGCGUAACGAUGGCCACACUGUCUCCUCCUGAGACUCAGCGAAGUUGAAAUGUUUGUGAAGAUGCAAUCUCCCCGCGGCAAGACGGAAAGACCCCAUGAACCUUUACUGUAGCUUUGCACUGGACUUUGAAUCGGUCUGUGUAGGAUAGGUGGGAGGCUGUGAAACCGGGACGCUAGUUUCGGUGGAGCCAACCUUGAAAUACCACCCUGAUUUAUUUGAGGUUCUAACCUUGAUCCGUGAAUCCGGAUCGGGGACCGUGCAUGGUGGGCAGUUUGACUGGGGCGGUCCCCACCCAAAAGGUAACGGAGGAGUACGAAGGUACGCUUAGGGCGGUCGGACAUCGCCCAUAAAGUGCAAUGGCAAAAGCGUGCUUGACUGCGAGACCCACAAGUCGAGCAGGUGCGAAAGCAGGUCAUAGUGAUCCGGUGGUUCUGUAUGGAAGGGCCAUCGCUCAACGGAUAAAAGGUACUCUGGGGAUAACAGGCUGAUACCGCCCAAGAGUUCAUAUCGACGGCGGUGUUUGGCACCUCGAUGUCGGCUCAUCUCAUCCUGGGGCUGUAGCCGGUCCCAAGGGUAUGGCUGUUCGCCAUUUAAAGGGGUACGUGAGCUGGGUUUAAAACGUCGUGAGACAGUUUGGUCCCUAUCUGCCGUGGGCGCUGGAAAUUUGAAGGGGGCUGCUCCUAGUACGAGAGGACCGGAGUGGACGAACCUCUGGUGUACCGGUUAUGACGCCAGUCGUAUCGCCGGGCAGCUAUGUUCGGAAGAGAUAAACGCUGAAAGCAUCUAAGCGUGAAACUCGCCUUAAGAUAAGAUUUCCCGGAGCCUUGAGCUCCUUGAAGGGUCGUCGAAGACCACGACGUUGAUAGGUCAGGUGUGGAAGCG
This 1338-nucleotide ribosomal RNA is filed under the name metagenome. Its description in RNAcentral is "bacterial LSU rRNA". It matches the Rfam family "Bacterial large subunit ribosomal RNA", at positions 1551 to 2875 of the family's 2925-position model. The record is from RNAcentral.